CGUGUCCCGGACUGCGUGUAUCCGAAGAAAAAGCAUCGGCUAACUCCGUGCCAGCAGCCGCGGUAAUACGGAGGAUGCGAGCGUUAUCCGGAUUUAUUGGGUUUAAAGGGUGCGUAGGCGGUCCGUUAAGUCAGCGGUAAAAUUGCGGGGCUCAACCCCGUCGAGCCGUUGAAACUGGCAGACUUGAGUUGGCGAGAAGUACGCGGAAUGCGCGGUGUAGCGGUGAAAUGCAUAGAUAUCGCGCAGAACUCCGAUUGCGAAGGCAGCGUACCGGCGCCAGACUGACGCUGAGGCACGAAAGCGUGGGGAUCGAACAGGAUUAGAUACCCUGGUAGUCCACGCAGUAAACGAUGAAGGCUGGUUGUCCGGGUCGAAUGAGAUCUGG
RNAcentral lists this ribosomal RNA (385 nucleotides) under uncultured bacterium. RNAcentral's name for it is "bacterial SSU rRNA". It matches the Rfam family "Bacterial small subunit ribosomal RNA", at positions 458 to 842 of the family's 1533-position model. The record is from RNAcentral.